UUUUUUGAAAUGUUGAAAAAAUAUGCCUAAAUUUUUUUACCAUGUAAAAGUAACCGGGGUGGAUGUACUUGCGUUUGCUGAAUGCCAUAYGCUAAAUUUUUUUACCAUGUAAAAUUGGUGAAACAAUACUGUAAAUUUUUUUACCAUGUAAAAUUUGCUGGUGUGGACUUAGAGAAAUUUUAUACUKUWWWUUUUUUUUUUUUUUUAAUGAACUUCAGGGCUAGUUUCUAGUGUGUUAGCCAAGGACCAUAUUUUUGUGUUACACUUUCAGCU
This 273-nucleotide unclassified non-coding RNA is filed under the name Puccinia novopanici. The record is from RNAcentral. Lineage: Eukaryota; Fungi; Basidiomycota; Pucciniomycetes; Pucciniales; Pucciniaceae.